CUACGGGGGGCUGCAGUGGGGAAUAUUGCACAAUGGAGGAAACUCUGAUGCAGCAACGCCGCGUGGAGGAUGACACUUUUCGGAGCGUAAACUCCUUUUAUAUAGGAAGAAGAUGACGGUACUAUAUGAAUAAGCGCCGGCUAACUCCGUGCCAGCAGCCGCGGUAAUAGGGAGGGCGCAAGCGUUACUCGGAAUCACUGGGCGUAAAGAGCGUGUAGGCGGAUUAAAAAGUCAGAAGUGGAAUCCUAUAGCUUAACUAUAGAACUGCUUCUGAAACUCUUAAUCUAGAAUAUGGGAGAGGUAGAUGGAAUUUCUGGUGUAGGGGUAAAAUCCGUAGAGAUCAGAAGGAAUACCGAUUGCGAAGGCGAUCUACUAGAACAUUAUUGACGCUGAGACGCGAAAGCGUGGGGAGCAAACAGGAUUAGAUACCCAGUAGUC
This 438-nucleotide ribosomal RNA is filed under the name uncultured bacterium. RNAcentral describes it as "partial 16S ribosomal RNA". It matches the Rfam family "Bacterial small subunit ribosomal RNA", at positions 339 to 795 of the family's 1533-position model. The record is from RNAcentral.